UCAACAAAGCUAUCUAGAUCAAAUCAGAGUCUCUGUAAGUGAACAUUGAGAAGACAUUGUAAAGUCAUUCAGGUAACUGCAAUGGUGUUUUCUUUUCAUUGUCUUUAUGUAGUCUGGGACUGUGAGGUUGCCGCCAUCUGCCUGUUGCUUCACCUGUUGCCUCCAACAUCCAAGGGCAAGAAGUCUGCAAAGAUCAGCGCAACGGAUGCUACUGUCCGCCUGGUGAAGUUCCUUAAGGUGGGGAGAAGCAUGGAGACCUUCCUGAAGGAAACUGGCCCUGCUCAGCCCUUUCUCCUGUGUGUUGGAGAACGAAAAAACAGCAUCCAGAAUUUCUACAUCAUCCUGGACCAAAAGGCCAUUCCCUCCAAGACGCAGACUGGAGUUGCUGCCUUUGACGAGCUCUUCAAGGCACAUUUUGCUUUUGCUGUGUCCUAUGAUGAGGCGCUGUGCAACUUCUACACCUUCAUCCAGACAACCGUGUAUGGCAUUGACGUUGGCAGUGUGAAGGAGACCCCUGGUGAAGGAAAUUCGAGUAAGACUUCUUCACAGUUCAUUUUGAAGAGGAACUCAUUUCUGACUUGAAAUGUUUACAUGUUACAUUUGCAAGGUACAGCACAGAAAUUGUUCAUUGUUAUGUCGACAUUUGAAGUUCCAGCAUGGAUUGUACCCAGGAAGGUCUUUGCGUUUGCGUUGUGGAGAGGCUGGUUGUUCAUUUGUUUUUUGCACAUACUUCGGUUACCAGCGGCACUUAUCUCGAGCACAUAAGGAUGGUGGUGAUUCAGAUUCCGUCAGUGAUGUUGAGUUUGUUCCUGCAACUAAUGUUGGAGCUUCUGUUUCACAACAAGUUAAUGUAGAUCCUCCUGCGACUGUCACUACACACAUUCCA
Gadus morhua (Atlantic cod) is the source of this 886-nucleotide long non-coding RNA. Lineage: Eukaryota; Metazoa; Chordata; Actinopteri; Gadiformes; Gadidae. The record is from Ensembl.